Molecule: long non-coding RNA, 3437 nt
Filed under: Nicotiana benthamiana
Lineage: Eukaryota; Viridiplantae; Streptophyta; Magnoliopsida; Solanales; Solanaceae
Description: long non-coding RNA (NBEN_LNC005537)
Source: RNAcentral
UGAUACUCUCUAUACAAAUCAUUCUCUGCCCAAUAAAAAGGUCGACACGCGAGAGGAGCUCCUUCUCAAUUUGUUUUCACCAUCACAUUAAACAGACACCCUCACCCAUCGGAAAACCGACCCACCACCAAGCUUCUUCCUCUUCAACAAAGACCAUCCCCGCUGAACUCAUCUGCUUGGUUUCGAGAACAAGCACACACACACACGAAACAGAGCCUGGAAACGGAAAGCAGAACUCGGUCUUUACCGAUUCAUUGUUUUGAUCUUUAGGAGACCAGAAAUUGAACAAAAAUAGGUCUCGAUGGUUUUUCUUUUUCAUUUCAAUUUCUGUCUCGUUUGAAGUUAGUGUCCGGGUCGUUUGAGUUUCAAAGCUUUCGUUUUCUUUUGAUUUCAAUGGAGACAACUUAAAUUCUGCCCGUGUCAGAGUUUGUCGAGUGUUCCUCGCUGGUCGAGGUCUGUUCGAGAUUGAUAGUUCCUGUUGCUCGGUUGUUUGUUUGUCGUGGAUUUUCGUCACCGGAUUUAUUUGUAUUUGACAGCGAGCAGAAUUAAUUGAAGAUCCCUGUCGCUGAACUUGUCAAAAUCUGUUGUGGUAUGAAAAGUUUUGUCAUGGAGUUCAUUUGAAUUUCAAAGUUUUGUUUCUUCUGACUUCUAUUGGAGUUGAUUCAAUUUUGUUCAUGGAUUUUGUUUGAGUUUUGUGGUUGCUUCAUGGUUUGGUGUUGUUCAAGUUAGUUCCAUGGUUCGCAAUGGAUUUUGUUUGAGUUUUGUGGUUGCUUCGAGGUUUGGUGUUGUUCAAGUUAGUUCCAUGGUUCGCAAUCCAAGUUCUUGUUACUAUCUCGGUUUUCCGAUCAAACAUAAUUGUCCGUUGGAGUUCAAAGAGGCAGUCUAGUUCGCCAUCCCUUGAUCCUGAUCGAAGUGUCGUCCAUUGUUUCCGGUCAAGCUCGAGUUGCCGAAUCUCUGUGGCUGUUUGAAUCUCAACGUUCAUCUGCUUGAAUACCUAAUCUAAACAGAGUCCUAAUAUCGAAAGCUUAUCAAGGCACUACUAUAUAUUCGAGGUCGUUUCGUCAAGGUCUGGUUUGUCGAGUUUCCGUUCGCUUGUGUUGUUGCCUAUUUUCUGUCGCGAUCCGAUAUCCAUUUCUGUUGGGUUUGUCAGUGAGUUAAAUUCAAAGGAAAAUUGAUCCAUUCGAGGUCCAUCUCUUACCCUACUUUAAUUUUUCUUAUGUGAUGCUUAUUUCUGGAUUUACUUAUGCUGAUUUAGUUAGUUGAUCGAAUUGUCAUGGCUGAACAUAAUACUCUUGAUAUGCUGUGUUGAUCGAUGAAUAUUGGUUGAUUUGAGUUGAAGUUAUGUUGAAAUUUUAAUUGUAAACAACUUAUGAAUUCUGGUCUGGUGGAUUUUUGUUGAUAUUUAAUUCAAAUGGAAGCAGUUAAUGAGCCAUUGAAGUAAGUGUGAAUAAAUGGAAUGGGAUCGGAUUUUGGUGGCAGCAGAGAUGUGGUAACUUUGUAGUUAAGUGUUUAAGUAAUUUCUUAAUUGUUUCAAUUGUGAAAAAAUGCAAUUAGGUUGAAGAAUUUUCUACAUUUCCUGGUGCUGGAACUACCUAUAUAAAGUAGUGGUUUGAAUUUAUUUUUCUUUCUUUCCCUAUUUUGUUUUUCUUGAAAUCAGUUGGUUACAUAAGACAGUUGCACGUAUGUGAAAUGAUGGAAUUUGAACGUAGAUGGUGUAUUUUCACUUCUGAACUUAUUUUGGAAGCUUCUGCUUACUUGUCACUAGUUUUAGAUUAAAAAUACAAAUGAACUUUUGUCUGAGUAGUUCAUGACCCUCUAAAUAAAACUUGAAUUCCUUUUCUUUAGAUUAGAAUCGAGGUGUGCCAUGCCAAGCAAAAAAAAAAACAACAAUUGCAUAGCUCUCGUUUUAAUUCAGUAUUGAUCCUUAGAAUCUGAGGCGUGCCGUUUAGCUAAAUUUUACGGCCCUCGCAAAUUGCAAACGCGUAGUUGCUUUAGGCGCGUAUCUAAUAAUUUACAUUCCUAAAUACGGGUGAGCAUUUUAUGCGGCCCAAAUCUAAAUCCUAAAACGUUGAAUAGAGUGUGCCUGGGAUUGUGGGUUCAUUUGAUGCGGCGCAAUCCAAAAGCAUACUUUAAACGAUGUUCACUUUCUCUUAAAUAAAUACAAAUUAAAUAAAAGCGGUUAAAGAUAAAAUUGGCACAUAGGCAUUUCAUGUAUUAAAAUCAGAUUUUAGCCAUUCAUAACAAUUUAAGCGAUCGUGCUAGAACCACGGGAUCCGAGGGUGUCUAACACCUUCCCUCGCGUAAACAGAAUUCCUUAUUUAGAAUUUCUGGUUCGCAGACUCCAAUUGGGAAGUCGAACAUUUUCCCCGGAUUGGGAUUCAAGCUGAACUGGUGACUUGGGACACCAAAACCCGAACCUUUCCCAAGUGGCGACUCUGAAUAAAUAAAUAAUCCCGAUCCGAAUAAUGUCACUUUAAAUGGAAAAACUCCCUAUGUGUGUAAAAAGGAGGUGUGACAGCUCUGACGACUCUGCUGGGGAAAGAACCUAGAACUUUUUGUUCAGGAUUCAGAAUUCGAGCUUAGAAUAAUUGUUGUGUUUAGAUUUAUCUGAUUCCGUUACAUGAUAUUUGCUUAAUGUACUAAUUGAUUGCUUUUACCUAAAAACUCCCUUAUACAUUAUCCUUCGGGUAGGUGUGUAAAAAGGAGGUCUGACACAACAUAUAGUCAAAUUUUGAUUUGAAGAAUCGACUAUUUGGUUAUAAAAAUAAUAAUGCAGUAAUUUAUGUGUUCUUGAACCAACUGAUCCUCCUCCUGCUUCUUCGUACCCGAAAGAGCAUAACCUCAUAGAUUUUGGCAGAAGUUAGGUUUUGGUAGUUCAAAAUUCCGAAGAUAUAAACAGAAAAAUGAAGAAAAUCAAAUAAAACAUGUAUAUUUUACCAUCGCGUUCAUCAUACUGUUCAAAAUUCCGAAGAUAUAUACAGAAAAAUGAAGAAAAUCAAAUAAAACAUGUAUAUUUUACCAUCGCGUUCAUCAUACAUAGAUUGCCCGAAAUUUUAUGGUAUAUAAGUGUUGUUCAGCUAAUUACUACUGCCCUUUUAAUCCUAUAUAUAAUUACUAUUGCAUUAUAACAGGAUAAAAUGCAAGAUUGAAGUUGUCUGCUUUCUUACUCCUUUUCAGGCAUGGGAAGUGAUUUCGACAAAUUUGGUUGGAUUACAACAACAACAAAUCUAGCAGUUUCCCACAAGUGGGGUCUGGGGAGCUAAGAUGUACCAGCCUUACCCUUACUUUGGAAGGGCAGAAAGACUGUUUCUAAUAGACUCAAAUUUGGCCGGACUAAAGGUUGAAAAUCAUAUCAACCUAUUGAAGGAGCUUAUUGCAAGUGCUGACCCCAAUAGCAGCAGCAAGAUGCCAAGCAGCAUGUAGAAAUGGUGUUUCAG